This 292-nucleotide ribosomal RNA is filed under the name uncultured eukaryote. Its description in RNAcentral is "partial 18S ribosomal RNA". It matches the Rfam family "Eukaryotic small subunit ribosomal RNA", at positions 6 to 278 of the family's 1831-position model. The record is from RNAcentral.
GGUUGAUCCUGCCAGUAGUGAUUCGCUUGUUUCAAAGAUUUCAAGCCAUGCACGUCUAAGUAUGAGCGAACUCGAUUUAGUGAAACUGCAGAUGGCUCAUUACACCAGUUUGAAUUCACACGAUGGGUGUGCGCGAGUGCUACAUGGAUAUCCGUAGUAAUUCUAGAGCUAAUACAUGCAGGAGCGCCCGACCUCGCGGAAGGGUUGUAUUUAUUGGAUGGUUGAAACCGACUCCCCUCUCACGGGGGGAUCGCGUUUGUUGAUUCACGAUAACUGAUCGGAUCGCCUCCCC